GAUGAAGAACGCAGCGAAAUGCGAUAAGUAAUGUGAAUUGCAGAAUUCAGUGAAUCAUCGAAUCUUUGAACGCACAUUGCGCCCGCCAGCAUUCUGGCGGGCAUGCCUGUUCGAGCGUCAUUUCAACCCUCGACCUCCCUUUGGGGAAGUCGGCGUUGGGGACCGGCAGCACACCGCCGGCCCUGAAAUGGAGUGGCGGCCCGUCCGCGGCGACCUCUGCGUAGUAAACCAACUCGCACCGGAACNNNNACGUGGCCACGCCGUAAAACACCCAACUUCUGAACGUUGACCUCGAAUCAGGUAGGACUACCCGCUGAACUUAAGCAUAUCAAUAAGCGGAGGA
This 343-nucleotide unclassified non-coding RNA is filed under the name soil metagenome. RNAcentral describes it as "partial contains 5.8S ribosomal RNA, internal transcribed spacer 2, and large subunit ribosomal RNA". The stretch from base 1 to 120 matches the Rfam family "5.8S ribosomal RNA", at positions 35 to 154 of the family's 154-position model. The record is from RNAcentral.